This 501-nucleotide ribosomal RNA is filed under the name uncultured bacterium. Its description in RNAcentral is "partial 16S ribosomal RNA". It matches the Rfam family "Bacterial small subunit ribosomal RNA", at positions 30 to 523 of the family's 1533-position model. The record is from RNAcentral.
AUUGAACGCUGGCGGCAGGCUUAACACAUGCAAGUCGAGCGGGGGAAGGUAGCUUGCUACCGGACCUAGCGGCGGACGGGUGAGUAAUGCUUAGGAAUCUGCCUAUUAGUGGGGGACAACAUCUCGAAAGGGAUGCUAAUACCGCAUACGUCCUACGGGAGAAAGCAGGGGAUCUUUGGACCUUGCGCUAAUAGAUGAGCCUAAGUCGGAUUAGCUAGUUGGUGGGGUAAAGGCCUACCAAGGCGACGAUCUGUAGCGGGUCUGAGAGGAUGAUCCGCCACACUGGGACUGAGACACGGCCCAGACUCCUACGGGAGGCAGCAGUGGGGAAUAUUGGACAAUGGGGGGAACCCUGAUCCAGCCAUGCCGCGUGUGUGAAGAAGGCCUUAUGAUUGUAAAGCACUUUAAGCGAGGAGGAGGCUACUUUAGUUAAUACCUAGAGAUAGUGGACGUUACUCGCAGAAUAAGCACCGGCUAACUCUGUGCCAGCAGCCGCAGUAA